UACGGAGGGUGCAAACGUUAAUCGGAAUUACUGGGCGCAAAGCGCGUGUAGGCGGUUUGUUAAGUCUGAUGUGAAAGCCCUGGGCUCAACCCAGGAAGUGCAUUGGAUACUGGCAGACUUGAAUACGGUAGAGGGUAGUGGAAUUCCUGGUGUAGGAGUGAAAUCCGUAGAUAUCAGGAGGAACACCGGUGGCGAAGGCGGCUGCCUGGACCGAUAUUGACGCUGAGACGCGAAAGCGUGGGUAGCAAACAGG
This 253-nucleotide ribosomal RNA is filed under the name uncultured bacterium. Its description in RNAcentral is "partial 16S ribosomal RNA". It matches the Rfam family "Bacterial small subunit ribosomal RNA", at positions 524 to 776 of the family's 1533-position model. The record is from RNAcentral.